RNAcentral lists this ribosomal RNA (205 nucleotides) under uncultured bacterium. Its description in RNAcentral is "partial 16S ribosomal RNA". It matches the Rfam family "Bacterial small subunit ribosomal RNA", at positions 335 to 539 of the family's 1533-position model. The record is from RNAcentral.
ACUCCUACGGGAGGCAGCAGUGGGAAUAUUCACAAUGGGCGCAAGCCUGAUCCAGCCAUGCCGCGUGCAGGAAGACUGCCCUAUGGGUUGUAAACUGCUUUUAUACGGGGAAAGAAACACCCCUCGUGAGGGGGCUUACGGUACCGUAAGAAUAAGGAUCGGCUAACUCCGUGCCAGCAGCCGCGGUAAUACGGAGGAUCCAAGC